CCUACGGGUGGCAGCAGUGGGGAAUAUUGGGCAAUGGGCGCAAGCCUGACCCAGCAACGCCGCGUGAAGGAAGAAGGCUUUCGGGUUGUAAACUUCUUUUGUCAGGGACGAAGCAAGUGACGGUACCUGACGAAUAAGCCACGGCUAACUACGUGCCAGCAGCCGCGGCAAUACGUAGGUGGCAAGCGUUAUCCGGAUUUACUGGGUGUAAAGGGCGUGUAGGCGGGGAAGCAAGUCAGAUGUGAAAACCACGGGCUCAACCUGUGGCCUGCAUUGGAAACUGUUUUUCUUGAGUGCUGGGGAGGCAAUCGGAAUUCCGUGUGUAGCGGUGAAAUGCGUAGAUAUACGGAGGAACGCCAGUGGCGAAGGCGGAUUGCUGGACAGUAACUGACGCUGAGGCGCGAAAGCGUGGGGAGCAAACAGGAUUAGAUACCCUUGUAGUC
This 443-nucleotide ribosomal RNA is filed under the name uncultured bacterium. Its description in RNAcentral is "partial 16S ribosomal RNA". It matches the Rfam family "Bacterial small subunit ribosomal RNA", at positions 338 to 795 of the family's 1533-position model. The record is from RNAcentral.